Molecule: microRNA precursor, 101 nt
Filed under: Marmota monax (woodchuck)
Lineage: Eukaryota; Metazoa; Chordata; Mammalia; Rodentia; Sciuridae
Source: RNAcentral
CUACUGGUCACUCGGAAUCUUGUGCAAAUGCAGAUUCUUGUUGGGUGGUCACUGGGAGCGAGUAGAUUCUGCAUUUUUAACAAGAUUCCAGUGAAUGUGAA